UACGGAGGGGGCUAGCGUUGUUCGGAAUUACUGGGCGUAAAGCGCGCGUAGGCGGACCUGCAAGUCGGGGGUGAAAGCCCGAGGCUCAACCUCGGAACUGCCUUCGAUACUGCGGGUCUCGAGUCCGGGAGAGGUGAGUGGAAUUCCUAGUGUAGAGGUGAAAUUCGUAGAUAUUAGGAAGAACACCAGUGGCGAAGGCGGCUCACUGGCCCGGUACUGACGCUGAGGCGCGAAAGCGUGGGGAGCGAACGAGG
RNAcentral lists this ribosomal RNA (254 nucleotides) under uncultured bacterium. Its description in RNAcentral is "partial 16S ribosomal RNA". It matches the Rfam family "Bacterial small subunit ribosomal RNA", at positions 524 to 777 of the family's 1533-position model. The record is from RNAcentral.